AAUUAGGAUCUGCUACACAAGCAAUUGGGCCCAUGCCCCAAAAACGGUAAAAUCUACCUCCUAAUA
This 66-nucleotide transfer RNA is filed under the name Paralaudakia stoliczkana (Mongolia rock agama). RNAcentral describes it as "tRNA-Met". Lineage: Eukaryota; Metazoa; Chordata; Lepidosauria; Squamata; Agamidae. The record is from RNAcentral.